UCAUUCUAAAACUGACUGGAGCUCUAUAUUAAUGGUGUCAGUUAUUUAUUUUACAGUUGCAGCCGACGUCUAUAUGGUUGAGUCGUCAGGGUACAUAGACACACGGGCUUAAUUCAAGGUGCUUUGCUAUUUUGGGGCAGCGGAAGGACCUCUACCUCCCUCCAGGCCUGACGGCACACUCCGUCUUCUGGGCUUAGAUUGAAGAUGUGGCAAAUAGGAGUCGCAACGUAUUCCGCUACCAACCUCAGUCAUUUAUCAUCCUGGUUGUCGGUUCCAGGUGGUUUGUCCUUAUUUAUAGAUAGCAAUAAUUGUUUCACCUCUUCCACACUAACUUUGCGGAAUCCUAAGCCACAGUGCUUGUCUUUCAUUAUUUGGUCCGUUAUUGUCACGUUCUUUUGUAUUUUGUAUUUGUGUAGUGUUCACGUUAUCGUCUUUCAUUAAACAUGUUGAACACGAA
Molecule: long non-coding RNA, 457 nt
Organism: Oncorhynchus kisutch (coho salmon)
Lineage: Eukaryota; Metazoa; Chordata; Actinopteri; Salmoniformes; Salmonidae
Exons: 2
Source: RefSeq, a predicted model, not a curated record